UACGAAGGGGGCUAGCGUUGCUCGGAAUCACUGGGCGUAAAGCGCACGUAGGCGGCUUUUUAAGUCAGGGGUGAAAUCCUGGAGCUCAACUCCAGAACUGCCUUUGAUACUGAGAAGCUUGAGUCCGGGAGAGGUGAGUGGAACUGCGAGUGUAGAGGUGAAAUUCGUAGAUAUCGGGAGGAACACCAGUGGCGAAGGCGACUACCUGGCCUGUUCUUGACGCUGAGGCGCGAAAGCUAGGGGAGCAAACGGG
RNAcentral lists this ribosomal RNA (253 nucleotides) under uncultured bacterium. Its description in RNAcentral is "partial 16S ribosomal RNA". It matches the Rfam family "Bacterial small subunit ribosomal RNA", at positions 524 to 776 of the family's 1533-position model. The record is from RNAcentral.